UGGUAAAUAAAUCUUUAACAAAAAAAAUUAGCAGUGUCGUCUGACUUUAACGGCGGGGUUUUAAUUGUUGUUAAACUGUACGAAAACUUUAAACCCUUCACUGUUAUAUUCAUCCAUCUAUAUAUAUGAUCUAUCUAUCUAUAGCCUUCUUCACAAUCACAACAUUUUUACCCAUUUCAGUUCUAGCGUUAUUUAUUGUUGGUGUAAAAAAUAUUACUGUACUAUUUAUCUAUGUGAAGGUAAGUACUGUAAGUCGUUUGAUCCAACCAAAAAAAAAAUAAAAAAGUGUAAUUCACAUUAUACAUUUAAUAUGAACAUUAACUAAAUUUUCAAUAUAUAUAUAUAUAUAUAUAAUACUAGUAUGUUAAAUUAAAUUGAUAUAUAAGAUGUUUUCCCUUAUAUAUUAUUUAAAGCCAACUAUAUAUACUUUUUUGUUAUAAUGUGACAAAGUAAGCUUAGCUCAUAUCCAAGAAGAGCUGAGGGGACCUUUUUCUUGAUUACCGAUCGCAGUAAGUAGUAACUGAUGGAUCGUUGUCUUUUUUUUUUUUUUUUUUUUUAACUUUGUCUUAUAUAUGAAAUCGUCUAUGCGUGAUGAAGAGUAAUAAUAUGAAGUUUAAGCUAAUUAAUGAAAUUAUUUUUUUAUUUCCCAAACAACAACAACAACAACAACAGCAGCAGAAAGUAGUUGUUCGCUGUACGUACGGGAUGGAUUCUCCUCAAUAUCUUAAGGUUCUGUCUUUCUCUUUACUUCUUCUAAUGCAUGCAUGAGACUCUGUUAAAAGUUGGUUUUUAUGCGGAUAUUAUUUAAUUUCUUCGACAGUAUUAACGUAUUAUAAUAUACUAUAUACUCC
Molecule: long non-coding RNA, 851 nt
Filed under: Capsella rubella
Lineage: Eukaryota; Viridiplantae; Streptophyta; Magnoliopsida; Brassicales; Brassicaceae
Description: long non-coding RNA (CRUB_LNC001839)
Source: RNAcentral